This 668-nucleotide small RNA is filed under the name Pongo abelii (Sumatran orangutan). RNAcentral's name for it is "processed transcript". The record is from RNAcentral. Lineage: Eukaryota; Metazoa; Chordata; Mammalia; Primates; Hominidae.
CCGGUGUGUGCGGGGCGUGGCGGGCGCAGCGUGGCGGGCGCAGCUUACCGGGCGGAGGUAUGAAAAUGAAAGUCUUCAUAAUGGAAGGAAGUCAACUGAAUUUCCAAGAAAAAUACGUGAACAGGAGCCAGCACGUCGUGUCUCAAGAUCUAGUUUCUCUUCUGACCCUGAUGAGAAAGCUCAAGAUUCCAAGGCCUACUCAAAAAUCACUGAAGGAAAAGUUUCAGGAAGUCCUCAGGUACAUAUCAAGAAUGUCAAAGAAGACGGUACCGCAGAUGACUCAAAAGACAGUGUUGCUCAGGGAACACCUAAUGUUCAUUCCUCAGAACAUGCUGGACGUAAUAGCAGAAAUACAGCUGAUCCCAUUUCUGGGGGUUUUAAAGAAAUUUCCAGGGUUAAAUUAGUGAGCCAUUAUGGCGAAUUGAAGUCUGUUCCCACUACACAAUGUCUUGACAAUAGCAAAAAAAAUGAAUCUCCCUUUAGGAAGCUUUAUGAGUCAAUGAAGAAGGAGUUGGAUGUAAAAUCACAAAAAGAAAAUGUUCUACAGUAUCGUAGAAAAUCUGGAUUACAAACUGAUUACGCAACAGAAAAAGAAAGUGUUGAUGGUUUACCGGGGGAGACCCAACUGUUGGUCUCGUGUAAGUCAAGACUGAAAUCUGGUGGAAGCA